RNAcentral lists this ribosomal RNA (405 nucleotides) under uncultured bacterium. RNAcentral describes it as "bacterial SSU rRNA". It matches the Rfam family "Bacterial small subunit ribosomal RNA", at positions 355 to 776 of the family's 1533-position model. The record is from RNAcentral.
CGAGGAAUAUUGCACAAUGGACGCAAGUCUGAUGCAGUAACGCCGCGUGAGGGAAGAAGACCUUCGGGUUGUAAACCUCUUUUAUGGAGGACGAGUGAGGACGGUACUCUAGGAAUAAGUCUCGGCUAACUACGUGCCAGCAGCCGCGGUAAGACGUAGGAGGCGAGCGUUAUCCGGAUUCACUGGGCGUAAAGCGCAUGUAGGCGGUUCUGUAAGUCCGCGGUUAAAGCCCCCGGCUCAACUGGGGGAGGUCCGUGGAGACUAUAGGACUUGAGGGCAACAGAGGCACGUGGAACUCCCGGUGUAGCGGUGGAAUGCGUAGAGAUCGGGAAGAACACCAGUGGCGAAGGCGACGUGCUGGGUUGCAACUGACGCUGAGAUGCGAAAGUGUGGGGAGCAAACGGG